Molecule: ribosomal RNA, 431 nt
Filed under: uncultured bacterium
Lineage: Bacteria
Description: partial 16S ribosomal RNA
Rfam family: Bacterial small subunit ribosomal RNA
Source: RNAcentral
AACGAACGCUGGCGGCAGGCCUAACACAUGCGAGUCGAGCGCGCCUUCGGGUGAGCGGCGGACGGGUGCGUAACGCGUGGGAAUAUGCCCUUCUCUACGGAAUAGUCCUGGGAAACUGGGGGUAAUACCGUAUACGCCCUUUGGGGGAAAGAUUUAUCGGGGAAGGAUUAGCCCGCGUUGGAUUAGGUAGUUGGUGGGGUAAUGGCCUACCAAGCCGACGAUCCAUAGCUGGUUUGAGAGGAUGAUCAGCCACACUGGGACUGAGACACGGCCCAGACUCCUACGGGAGGCAGCAGUGGGGAAUCUUAGACAAUGGGGGCAACCCUGAUCUAGCCAUGCCGCGUGAGUGAUGAAGGCCUUAGGGUUGUAAAGCUCUUUCAGCUGGGAAGAUAAUGACGGUACCAGCAGAAGAAGCCCCGGCUAACUCCGUG